This 251-nucleotide ribosomal RNA is filed under the name uncultured bacterium. RNAcentral describes it as "partial 16S ribosomal RNA". It matches the Rfam family "Bacterial small subunit ribosomal RNA", at positions 103 to 354 of the family's 1533-position model. The record is from RNAcentral.
CGGGUGAGUAACGCGUGGAUAACCUGCCUCAUACAGGGGGAUAACAGUUAGAAAUGACUGCUAAUACCGCAUAAGCACCCGGGAGCGCAUGCUCCUGAGUGAAAAGCUCCGGCGGUAUGAGAUGGAUCCGCGUCUGAUUAGCUGGUUGGCGGGGUAACGGCCCACCAAGGCGACGAUCAGUAGCCGACCUGAGAGGGUGGCCGGCCACAUUGGGACUGAGACACGGCCCAAACUCCUACGGAAGGCAGCAG